GAUGAACGCUGGCGGCGUGCCUAAUACAUGCAAGUCGAGCGAACAGAUAAGGAGCUUGCUCCUUUGACGUUAGCGGCGGACGGGUGAGUAACACGUGGAUAACCUACCUAUAAGACUGGGAUAACUUCGGGAAACCGGAGCUAAUACCGGAUAACAUAUUGAACCGCAUGGUUCAAUAGUGAAAGGCGGCUUUGCUGUCACUUAUAGAUGGAUCCGCGACGUAUUAGCUAGUUGGUAAGGUAACGGCUUACCAAGGCAACGAUACGUAGCCGACCUGAGAGGGGGAUCGGCCACACUGGAACUGAGACACGGUCCAGACUCCUACGGGAGGCAGCAGUAGGGAAUCUUCCGCAAUGGGCGAAAGCCUGACGGAGCAACGCCGCGUGAGUGAUGAAGGUCUUCGGAUCGUAAAACUCUGUUAUCAGGGAAGAACAAAUGUGUAAGUAACUGUGCACAUCUUGACGGUACCUGAUCAGAAAGCCACGGCUAACUACGUG
This 497-nucleotide ribosomal RNA is filed under the name uncultured bacterium. RNAcentral describes it as "partial 16S ribosomal RNA". It matches the Rfam family "Bacterial small subunit ribosomal RNA", at positions 28 to 507 of the family's 1533-position model. The record is from RNAcentral.